CAGCCGUAAACUAUGCUCGCUAGGUGUCAGGCAUGGCGCGACCGUGUCUGGUGCCGCAGGGAAACCGUGAAGCGAGCCACCUGGGAAGUACGGCCGCAAGGCUGAACUUAAGGAUUGGCCGGGGGAGCACCACAACGGGUGGAGCCUGCGGUUUAAUUGGACUCAACGCCGGGAAGCUCACCGGAUAAGACAGCGGAAUGAUUGCCGGGCUGAAGACUCUGCAUGACUAGCUGAGAGGAGGUGCAUGGCGUAGACGUCU
RNAcentral lists this ribosomal RNA (259 nucleotides) under uncultured archaeon. RNAcentral's name for it is "partial 16S ribosomal RNA". It matches the Rfam family "Archaeal small subunit ribosomal RNA", at positions 748 to 1009 of the family's 1478-position model. The record is from RNAcentral.